CAUGGGGUGUAUUUGGUGGAAGGAGUCUGGGUAUUAAAAGGGAAGCGUCGGACCUAGUCAGAUGAAGCCCAAGGUUUAUCCUUGUUGAGUUCAAGAAGAGGGGAGAUGAGUCAGGAAAAAGGAGUGCCAAGUAGUAAAGGCCAUUUGGGUUUGAUCUAUGAAGCUCAACACAUGGGGGCAAAGGGAUGGAAGGGAUUCAGUCUGCCUCAUUCAGUUUUCAAUCCUAACAGAGACUCCCUCCCUCUCUUGUACCUAUAUCUCAUUGUAAAUCACUAUGCCGCGCUGGAGGUGGAGGAGCCACCCAUGACAAGCCAAAACCACCACGACUUAACUUGUUUUUGCAUCCUCUCUCUAUUUCUCAUACCUAUUUCAUAUGAUUCUCACCGAAUCCUCCAAUCCACCAUAAAACCUCCAAGAACCCUAAUUAUGCCAUCUAGAUUUAAAUGGCCACGACUAACAAACCUAAGCCAUUACCUUAGAGAUUUUGUUUGUUAUUUCAAAUGCUACAUAGUGGUAACAAUAUUGGUGUAAAGAAGUGAAGAAUCGAGAUUGCCAAGCCUACCUACAGAGCGGAGGCGUGCUCUGAAAAUGUUGCAAAGCUUGAAGAUGGAGAUGUGAAGAUAGAAACCCAAAGAUAUGCUCAGUUUAUUUUCAGCAUUAGCAGUCUGCACGAAUAAAUUCAUAACUGGAGAUAGGAGUAUCGGAUCGAGGCGUGCUACCAGUCGUUGGAAAGAUAAGAGAGAGAGCUACAACUUUUAUGUUGAAGACAAAAUCUGAUUUGGAGCGAAGACGUCUCAAUUAAUUCAUUGAAGUUUCGUAUUUUAGGAAAUAUUUUCUUUUGGGCCAUUUGUUGGACCGAAUUUAGGUUUUUCGGCCCAGUUUGAAUUAUUAGUGAAACCCUUAUUCUGUUUAAAAGGGAAGUCGCGGUACUGUAGCAGAGACACAUUAUUCACAAUAACUUUUUGUUUUUAUGCGAUCAUGAAGAGAAACUAAUCUUCUAGAGUCAAUCUGCUGUAACCGAAUUUCCAAGGCUUUGAGGUUUUUAUUCUA
Lathyrus oleraceus (garden pea) is the source of this 1050-nucleotide long non-coding RNA. RefSeq lists it as uncharacterized. The record is from RefSeq and is a predicted model, not a curated record. The transcript is spliced from 2 exons. Lineage: Eukaryota; Viridiplantae; Streptophyta; Magnoliopsida; Fabales; Fabaceae.